Oryzias melastigma (Indian medaka) is the source of this 1716-nucleotide long non-coding RNA. RefSeq lists it as uncharacterized. The transcript is spliced from 2 exons. The record is from RefSeq and is a predicted model, not a curated record. Lineage: Eukaryota; Metazoa; Chordata; Actinopteri; Beloniformes; Adrianichthyidae.
UGUUCUCCAUAACCAAAUUGAUUUUUUUUUCUGCUUGGAAGGUUCACGAGAGACAACCAUACACUCGACAAAACCUGUUGCAGGCCUUAGACAUGGCUUUGAUAGCAUUACAGUUGGGUCUAGUCCAGACUGGAUCAGACAGACAAGAUCAUUCUUUCCUGCUGUGUGUCUUUGGUCAACAAUCACAGUGAUGUGGGUGCAGAGCUCUGGUCUGACCCACAGAGAAAACAUGGUGAAGUGCAAAAAAUGUGGAUUUACAACAAAAAAAGAAAAACCUGAAAACUAUUUUUCGCAAAGCUUGGGGGUGGGGGGGGGGGGUCAUUCCUUAUCAACCAUUUUAUGAACAGUGCCAACUGUUUGUUGUAUAGUGUGUUGUGAUUGCUGCAGGUUUGUUAGUUUUGACAACAGUCUUCAUUAUGACCUCAAACUGAACUUUUGACUCAAGUAUUUUAUUUAUUAAGCUUAUAUUUUGAAAACGGAGUUUGGUGUUUGGUUAAAUUGGUCUAAAGUUUCAGUAAAUGUGUUUUAGCAUUUGGGAUCAAGUGUAAUAUUUGGUACAGUAGUCUUUGUUUGUGAUUGCACAAACCAGGUUUGUACUGAUGAUCUCAUCAUUCUUCUUCCUCCAAACACAGCGAGUGGAAUUCAGAUCAAAAAGGUCUAUUUUGAUCUAAGCUGAUCACAUGACUUUCUCCCAUGAUCCUCUGGAUCAUCCAAGUGGUCAAACUUAAGACGGUCUGGACAUGUGCUGGUUUAAGUAGGAGAACCUUCAAACCAUGACGUCUUUGUGGAUCACCAACAGUAACCAUGGAAACGGUGGUCUCAGCUCUUCUCAGGUCAUUGACCAGCUCCCCCUGUGUAGUUCUGGACUGAUCCUCAUCUUUCUUGGGAACAUUGAAACUCCACCAGAACAUGUCUGCUCACCAGAGGGAACUCAUGAGAGACGCGUCCAUCAGGUGGAAGCUUGGCCCCAAAGCCCAGUGCAGGGAACAUCUUGUCACUGUCAUAGUCCUGGAUGAUCUCCCCGACCGCCCGCAGCGCCAUGGCGUAGUCAUUCAGCUGGUACGGGCUCAUGUAAUGGAGGGAAGUGGGUUGCGACGGGUUGCCUGAGUCCCAAAUGAUUCAACAGGAAAAAGCACACACAUCAAGGUCAGGAAAAUCUGAUCUGUUCCUGCAGAUUUGAUUCAUCUUUAAAUGGAUGGACACUGAAAAAACACACAACAGACAUUAACUCAUGAAGGUUUCUCUGCUAAUGACGAGUUCUAAUGAGUGGUAAAGUAGUAAUUACAAAAGUCUUACUGAGUACUCAAGCUUACUAUUUCACUUUAAACUUUAAAAAUGCGGCUAACUCCCCAUGUCCUCUUCAAUGAGUGGAGAAUAAAAAUGUCCUUUUUCAAACUGUUUUGCGAAUAAGGCUUAAUCUUUUUAACUUAUUUAUUUAUUUUUUUUAUUAAAACAGGUUUGCUGUUUACAAAAGAAUCCUGAAAGGAAAAAUGGAAAACAAGUUUUUUCCUUUUACGCUUUUGCAAUCUCAAAAAUGUUUCCUUUCUUUGCAAAUGUUCUGGUUCUUAAUACAGCAUGUGUUGUGUUUGCCUUUACCGUUUCCCGUGAAUGUAAUCUAAUACUGAUCACCUCUAUGGGCUCAAAUCAGCUUAAAGUGAAUGAGAAACAAGUAGAUUGUAAAUAAAUAAAAAAGUAAAUUUGAAACGUGAAUAAAAA